UCUGAGACAGUUUGUGGACAGAGUCAAAG
Molecule: non-coding RNA, 29 nt
Filed under: Rattus norvegicus (Norway rat)
Lineage: Eukaryota; Metazoa; Chordata; Mammalia; Rodentia; Muridae
Source: RNAcentral